AAUUAUUUGUCAAAUAUAUUUUGUAAUUGCGUGUUACUUACCAAUUUGUGUGAAAAGUUUUAAUAAAUGUAUCUCAUGAACCGUAAGUUUGCGCAACCUAAAUCUUUGCAAAACUCUUUCUUUUAUGUUAAAGUUUGGGCUAAAUUUUGUUUUCCUAAUGGUGAUGGGACAUCCAUUGAAUCAUUAAAAACAGUGAAUGCCCAGCAUAGGAUACUAUGUGAAAAUCAUUUGAAUGAAUCUUCAUUUACCAGCAGCGAUAGGAAAAGACUUAACAAGUUAGAUUAAGAGUGAAUAGAGGAGGAUAUAGACCAAUUAAAAAACAAACAUUGUAGUCCAUAUAGAGCAAGUUAUGACAUCCAAGAACCAUCAACUAGCAAAGGUAUUUUGUAGGACUUGGAUGUGAAAAAGUUCAGUGAACUUACACCUCAAAAGCAAACGCUGUCUAAGAGAUGCAGAAAAAAUCUAUCUGAAAUAGUGAGGCUCUGAAAAAAGUUUCAAGGAGAUUGUGACACAGCAGACAAGUCAGCAGCUCUUGUCGAGGAGGUACAGUAAAGUGGAGCCACAUAGAGGAGUUUUAUAAAAAAGAUCGCGAGAAUCCCAACCGUGUUUGCUCCAGCUUUAACCCAGCACCACUUACAACCAGUACAGAAUGGCAAACAGAAAAUCAAAGAGCGCCUAGCAGAUCAAAUUUUAAGCCAUUCUGUUGCAGUUGGAAUAUUUGCCAAAAUGAAUGAUGACAAGACGCCCCUGGAACAACUGUCGCUGGACAAGCUUUUCGACUGAACGGAGAUUCGACCGACAGGAAAGAGGUAUAAACACUUAUUAUAAUAAUACUUGACAUCUGUAAUUGUGGAUGUGAUCCAAACCCCACGUCGGUCCAAUUAAAAACUAGCUUAGGCAAUUAGUAGCAGCGUUUUUAAUACGCUGAAAUUAUUAUUCUUCGAAGACACUAAACCUAGCUGCGCAACUGAAUAUCCCUGUAACAGCCAGGUGGAACCUCCAACCUCCCAGGGAAAUUAAGUG
Pieris brassicae (large cabbage white) is the source of this 1023-nucleotide long non-coding RNA. RefSeq lists it as uncharacterized. NCBI's taxonomy places the organism in Eukaryota, Metazoa, Arthropoda, Insecta, Lepidoptera, Pieridae. The transcript is spliced from 6 exons. The record is from RefSeq and is a predicted model, not a curated record.